This 234-nucleotide ribosomal RNA is filed under the name uncultured bacterium. Its description in RNAcentral is "partial 16S ribosomal RNA". It matches the Rfam family "Bacterial small subunit ribosomal RNA", at positions 90 to 339 of the family's 1533-position model. The record is from RNAcentral.
GCCUAGUGGCGCACGGGUGAGUAACGCGUGGGAACCUACCCUGGAGUGGGGAAUAACUACUGGAAACGGUAGCUAAUACCGCAUAAUCCCUGAGGGGGAAAGGCUUCGGCCGCUCUUGGAUGGUCCCGCGUCCGAUUAGCUUGUUGGUAGGGUAACGGCCUACCAAGGCGAUAAUCAAUAGCUGAUUUGAGAGGAUGAUCAGCCACACUGGGACUGAGAUACGGCCCAGACUCC